RNAcentral lists this ribosomal RNA (490 nucleotides) under uncultured bacterium. Its description in RNAcentral is "partial 16S ribosomal RNA". It matches the Rfam family "Bacterial small subunit ribosomal RNA", at positions 30 to 507 of the family's 1533-position model. The record is from RNAcentral.
AUUGAACGCUGGCGGCAGGCCUAACACAUGCAAGUCGAACGGUAACAGGAAGCAGCUUGCUGCUUUGCUGACGAGUGGCGGACGGGUGAGUAAUGUCUGGGAAACUGCCUGAUGGAGGGGGAUAACUACUGGAACCUGUAGCUAAUACCGCAUAACGUCGCAAGACCAAAGAGGGGGACCUUCGGGCCUCUUGCCAUCGGAUGUGCCCAGAUGGGAUUAGCUAGUAUGUGGGGUAACGGCUCACCUAGGCGACGAUCCCUAGCUGGUCUGAGAGGAUGACCAGCCACACUGGAACUGAGACACGGUCCAGACUCCUACGGGAGGCAGCAGUGGGGAAUAUUGCACAAUGGGCGCAAGCCUGAUGCAGCCAUGCCGCGUGUAUGAAGAAGGCCUUCGGGUUGUAAAGUACUUUCAGCGGGGAGGAAGGGAGUAAAGUUAAUACCUUUGCUCAUUGACGUUACCCGCAGAAGAAGCACCGGCUAACUCCGUG